UACGUAGGGACCAAGCGUUGUCCGGAAUCAUUGGGCGUAAAGAGCGUGUAGGCGGCCAGGUAGGUCCGUUGUGAAAACUCGAGGCUCAACCUCGAGACGCCGAUGGAAACCAUCUGGCUAGAGUCCGGAAGAGGAGAGUGGAAUUCCCGGUGUAGCGGUGAAAUGCGCAGAUAUCGGGAAGAACACCCGUGGCUAAGGCGGCUCUCUAGUACGGUACUGACGCUGAGACGCGAAAGCGUGGGGAGCGAACAGG
This 253-nucleotide ribosomal RNA is filed under the name uncultured bacterium. RNAcentral describes it as "partial 16S ribosomal RNA". It matches the Rfam family "Bacterial small subunit ribosomal RNA", at positions 524 to 776 of the family's 1533-position model. The record is from RNAcentral.